Molecule: ribosomal RNA, 497 nt
Filed under: uncultured bacterium
Lineage: Bacteria
Description: partial 16S ribosomal RNA
Rfam family: Bacterial small subunit ribosomal RNA
Source: RNAcentral
GAUGAACGCUGGCGGCGUGCCUAAUACAUGCAAGUCGAGCGAACGGACGAGAAGCUUGCUUCUCUGCUGUUAGCGGCGGACGGGUGAGUAACACGUGGAUAACCUACCUAUAAGACUGGGAUAACUUCGGGAAACCGGAGCUAAUACCGGAUAAUAUUUUGAACCGCAUGGUUCAAAAGUGAAAGACGGUCUUGCUGUCACUUAUAGAUGGAUCCGCGCUGCAUUAGCUAGUUGGUAAGGUAACGGCUUACCAAGGCAACGAUGCAUAGCCGACCUGAGAGGGUGAUCAGCCACACUGGAACUGAGACACGGUCCAGACUCCUACGGGAGGCAGCAGUAGGGAAUCUUCCGCAAUGGGCGAAAGCCUGACGGAGCCACGCCGCGUGAGUGAUGAAGGUCUUCGGAUCGUAAAACUCUGUUAUUAGGGAAGAACAUAUGUGUAAGUAACUGUGCACAUCUUGACGGUACCUAAUCAGAAAGCCACGGCUAACUACGUG